GACCCCGCCAACCGCAACAAGCUGCCCCAGAUCCUCCCUGGCUUCCUCUACAUGACAGUCAGCGACAACGGGCGCGUCCACCACUUCGCCAGCGUCUCCAGUGACGGCGCAACAGCCCCGUUCGACCCCUCCCUCCCUUGCCUGCACGACCAUGACAAGGACGAGGGAAUCAUCCAGGUGAACGCCUGCAAUGGCCUCCUUCUCUACCGCCGCUACAAGAAAAACAACAACGUGAACCCUUUGAUGAAAGAGGAUGAUUUCCGUUUCGUUGUGUGCAAUCCCGUCACCCGGAGGUGGGUGGAGCUGCCCCCGCUGCCUGUGGCCGACAGAAGUAGCCGUACCACAGGCUUGGCUUUCGAUCCGGCCGUAUCUUCCGACUUCCACGUUCUUCACUUUGAGCAGACCUUUCAGGAAAAGUACAUCACAUGAGUGAACAUUUACUCGUCGCGGACAGGAGCCUGGAGUCAUAGGGGUAAUGAGAUGGCUGAGAAAGUCAUGCUAUUCUUUCGGAGUAGAUGCAUCCUUGUUGGCGGCAUGCUCUACCUCAUGGGCAGCCUUAAACGCAAUGACGGUCAUCAUCUGUUGCUGGGGGUGGACAUGGAGGGCAAAGUGUGGAAGACCAGCAGUCUGCCAUACGGCCGAAGAUUUGCUACGAUUGGCUCGUCGCAGGGGCGCUUACACUACACUGUAGCUUUCUUCGAUGAUAACAACCAAAUCUCUGGGUUAGAGCUCUGGUUCCUUCAGGAUUGCGAUAGUAAAGAAUUGGUCCUGAAGCAUACUGCCAGCUUCAAUAAGCUUAUGAGCAUGACUGGGAAGGUGUACAUGGCGGCUGAGAUUCAUCCAGAUUGCGACACCAUUUUCCUCAUGUCAUGUUUAGGUGAUACCUUGGUAGCAUAUGAUAUGCGACAUCAGAAAGUUCGAUAUAUCCUUAAUCUUGAGAAGAGCAACACACAAUAGCUUCUACCCUAUUUUCCUCUGUUCUCAGAGUCAUUAGCAGAUGCAGAUGGGCAAUAG
This 1014-nucleotide ribosomal RNA is filed under the name Triticum aestivum (bread wheat). RNAcentral describes it as "partial small subunit ribosomal RNA". The record is from RNAcentral. Lineage: Eukaryota; Viridiplantae; Streptophyta; Magnoliopsida; Poales; Poaceae.